Molecule: non-coding RNA, 942 nt
Filed under: Rasbora ennealepis
Lineage: Eukaryota; Metazoa; Chordata; Actinopteri; Cypriniformes; Danionidae
Description: 12S ribosomal RNA
Rfam family: Bacterial small subunit ribosomal RNA
Source: RNAcentral
CAAAGACGUGGUCCCAACCUUUAUAUCAGCCUUAACCCAACUUACACAUGCAAGUCUCCGCAACCCCGUGAAAAGACCCUCACCCCCAACCAGCGGAACAGGAGUAGGUAUCAGGAACAAAAUUUAGCCCAAGACGCCUAGCAUGCCACACCCCCAAGGGAACUCAGCAGUGAUAAACAUUAAGCUAUGGGUGAAAACCCGACUUAGUCGAGGUUAAGAGGGCCGGUAAAAUUCGUGCCAGCAACCGCGGUUAAACGAAUAGCCCUAGUUGAUAAUAUACGGCGUAAAGAGUGGUUAGGGGAAUAAAAAUAAAGCCAAAUGGCCCUUUGGUUGUUAUACACUUCUAGGAGCCCGAAAACCAAACACGAAAGUUGCUUUAAUUAAAAUACCUGAUUCCACGAAAGCUGAGAAACAAACUGGGAUUAGAUACCCCACUAUGCUCAGCCAUAAACUAAGACAUAAAUACACACAGAGUCCGCCUAAAUAUUACGAGCAACAGCUUAAAACCCAAAGGACCUGACGGUGCCUUAGACCCCCCUAGAGGAGCCUGUUCUAUAACCGAUAAUCCCCGUUAAACCUCACCACUUCUAGCCAACCCAGUCUAUAUACCACCGUCGUCAGCUUACCCUGUGAAGGAAUAAAAGUAAGCAAAAAGAGUAUUACUCAAUACGUCAGGUCGAGGUGUAGCGAACGAAGUGGGAAGAAAUGGGCUACAUUUUCUAUAGCAGAAUAUUACGAAGAUGCAAUAUGAAAUAUUGCUUAAAGGAGGAUUUAGUAGUAAAAAGGAAAUAGAGUGUCCUUUUGAACCCGGCCCUGAGGCGCGUACACACCGCCCGUCACUCUCCCCAGUCAAUGUUAAAAACUUACUUAACCCCAAAGCACCGACAAGAGGAGGCAAGUCGUAACAAGGUAAGUGUACCGGAAGGUGCACUUGGACAAACC